RNAcentral lists this ribosomal RNA (468 nucleotides) under uncultured bacterium. RNAcentral's name for it is "partial 16S ribosomal RNA". It matches the Rfam family "Bacterial small subunit ribosomal RNA", at positions 29 to 507 of the family's 1533-position model. The record is from RNAcentral.
ACGCACGCUGGCGGCGUGCUUAACCCAUGCCAGUCGAACGGAAAGGCCCUGCUUGCAGGGUGCUCGAGUGGCGAACGGGUGAGUAACACGUGGGUGAUCUGCCCCUUACUUUGGGAUAAGCCUGGGAAACUGGGUCUAGUACUGGAUAGGACCAUGCUGUAGGUGGUGUGGUGGAAAGAUUAGUUUCGGUAAGGGAUGAGCUCGCGGCCUAUCAGCUUGUUGGUGGGGUAAUGGCCUACCAAGGCGUCGACGGGUAGCCGGCCUGAGAGGGUGGACGGCCACAUUGGGACUGAGAUACGGCCCAGACUCCUACGGGAGGCAGCAGUGGGGAAUAUUGCACAAUGGGCGCAAGCCUGAUGCAGCGACGCCGCGUGGGGGAUGACGGCCUUCGGGUUGUAAACUCCUUUCAGCCAUGACGAAGCCCUUGUGGUGACGGUAGUGGUAGAAGAAGCACCGGCUAACUACGUG